GGGGUUUCCUGCUGAGUUUCUGAAUGAGAUGAUGCUGCUGCAUGGAGAAAUUAUAUUGAAAGAAGAAAGGGAGACUUGCUUGAGGCUUUCUGAAGAGCAGGUUGUGGCAGCAUGCCUCCUUCAACUGAAAGCAGGUCUUUACUGCCUUCCAUCUGAGGAUCUCAAGCUGACAUCCUGGCACUUAUUAAUUAGAAUCCAUUUUACAAGAGAACAAGCUGAGGAUGAGAAUGGAGAAGCUGCUCUUGGCCCAUCGUAAGUCAGAUGCUGGUGAUGGAGACAGCAAUAAAAAACAAGGACGUGGGUUCUCAGCCGCCUGCUUGGAGUGUGCGGAGAUGCUGAUCAGAAAGGCAGGGGAAAUAAAUUCUGUAGUAAGGUGAAAACAACUCUCAGGUCAAAUAAGAUUUAUUUUGCUCAGAGUUGAAGUCAACGAGGCUCUCUGAGGGAGAAAGGAGGUAACAAAUUUGUGCCAUGAAAAAAAAACCCAAUGUGAAAACCUGCAUGCAGCAUCACCCUGCUGGAUUCAUUACGGCGUGAUGGGCUCUGUAGAUGCGCGAUGCUCUGUUCAUUUAUCUGGUCUCAUACACACUUCUUUCCAUCCUUCAUGUUUAUUUGUAUCUGCUUAUGGGUUUAAUUAAAAGCAAAACAUUUUUAAAGAAA
This is a long non-coding RNA of Anas platyrhynchos (mallard), 657 nucleotides long. RefSeq lists it as uncharacterized. Lineage: Eukaryota; Metazoa; Chordata; Aves; Anseriformes; Anatidae. The record is from RefSeq and is a predicted model, not a curated record.